UGGGCAUGAGGUAUGCUGUAGAUAUGCCCAUAAAAAUAUUUCCACUGGUUUUCUAUCUACUACCUUGCUAGCAAUCAAUCUGUUGGGAACAGUA
This 94-nucleotide small nucleolar RNA is filed under the name Chinchilla lanigera (long-tailed chinchilla). RNAcentral describes it as "Small nucleolar RNA SNORA32 (ENSCLAG00000018912.1)". The record is from RNAcentral. Lineage: Eukaryota; Metazoa; Chordata; Mammalia; Rodentia; Chinchillidae.